UACGUAGGGUGCAAGCGUUAUCCGGAAUUAUUGGGCGUAAAGAGCUCGUAGGCGGUUUGUCGCGUCUGCUGUGAAAACCUAAGGCUCAACCUUGGGCUUGCAGUGGGUACGGGCAGACUAGAGUGCGGUAGGGGUGACUGGAAUUCCUGGUGUAGCGGUGGAAUGCGCAGAUAUCAGGAGGAACACCGAUGGCGAAGGCAGGUCACUGGGCCGCAACUGACGCUGGAGG
Molecule: ribosomal RNA, 229 nt
Filed under: uncultured bacterium
Lineage: Bacteria
Description: partial 16S ribosomal RNA
Rfam family: Bacterial small subunit ribosomal RNA
Source: RNAcentral